RNAcentral lists this ribosomal RNA (253 nucleotides) under uncultured bacterium. Its description in RNAcentral is "partial 16S ribosomal RNA". It matches the Rfam family "Bacterial small subunit ribosomal RNA", at positions 524 to 776 of the family's 1533-position model. The record is from RNAcentral.
UACAGAGGUCUCAAGCGUUGUUCGGAUUCAUUGGGCGUAAAGGGUGCGUAGGCGGCGCGGUAAGUCGGGUGUGAAAUCUCGGAGCUUAACUCCGAAACCGCAUUCGAUACUGCCGUGCUUGAGGACUGGAGAGGAGACUGGAAUUUACGGUGUAGCGGUGAAAUGCGUAGAUAUCGUAAGGAAGAACAGGGGCGAAGGCGGGUCUAUGGAAAGUUCCUGACGCUGAGGCACGAAGGUCAGGGGAGAAAACGGG